RNAcentral lists this long non-coding RNA (265 nucleotides) under Musa acuminata (dwarf banana). RNAcentral's name for it is "long non-coding RNA (MACU_LNC004486)". Lineage: Eukaryota; Viridiplantae; Streptophyta; Magnoliopsida; Zingiberales; Musaceae. The record is from RNAcentral.
GUUGCCGCAGCCCCUCGUCGAUCGUAGCCACGCCUCGAGCGCCGUCACCUUCCAGCCGACCCACCACCACUACCAGCCACCGUGCGGCGACCGCUGCUCGCCUCCCAACCGCCGCUCCCCCUGGCUCGGGCGAGAACGACUGCUGCCACUCCCCCUUGCUCUGCCCCCUUGUGACCGAAACAGGGCAAUCCUCUUGCUGCUGCCCAGCCAGCGACGACGCCGCUCGUCGCCCAGCCUGCCACCGUCGAUUCCUAUUUUCCACUGC